ACCACCUCCUCAAGGCUUGCAAUCUUCGGAAUAUAUCCCCAUAUGUAGCUCUGCUCCAGGUAGAUAGUGCUUGUUUAAGCUUCUUUAACUUGUAGUUAAAAAUGUAGAAAGGGUUAACACUAAAAUAAGCAUUCCAAUUCUCCUUUACUACAUCUUUGAAGGUUUCAUGCUUUGUCCAGAAGUUAAGAAAUCUGAAUGACUUUUUAAUUGGAGGAGUUUCUAUAUCACAUUUCAGCAGUAUUGGGCAAUGAUCAAACCCAAUUUUGGAUAGGUGAGUUAUAUCCAAUCUAGGAAAUGUCUGUUGCAAUUCAUUAUUGCCAAAACAUCUGUCCAAUCUUUUAAAAAUGUAGUCCUCCUCUGAUCUUCCAUUCCACCAUGUAAAUAUGCUUCCUUUAAAACCCAAGUCUGUCAAAUUGCAGGUAUUGAUGCAGUGUCUGAAGUCAUCUGCUUCAAUGAGAGAAACUAGCAAGCCCCCAUAUUUCUCUUCCUCAUCCCAUAUCACAUUAAAGUCGCCUCCAACUAGCCAAGGUACUGUCAUAUCUGAUGCCAUUGCAUACAACGUAUCCCAUAGUUCUAUUCUUUCAGUGCGGUCACAUUUGGCAUAGACUAGUAUAAGGAUGAGCUCAACAUGUGUUUCGAAGUACAUUAAUCUCAAAGUCAGCUGUUGAGUCAUAUUAUAUAAAAUAGUAACCUCAAAAAUUUCAUCAAUAAAAGCCCAAAUCUUGUUUGACACAUUCACCACAGCCUGUCCCAAACCAAUUCUUGCUCUAUACCUCUCCAUUUUGUGAGACUGU
Molecule: long non-coding RNA, 794 nt
Filed under: Nicotiana tabacum (common tobacco)
Lineage: Eukaryota; Viridiplantae; Streptophyta; Magnoliopsida; Solanales; Solanaceae
Description: long non-coding RNA (NTAB_LNC012501)
Source: RNAcentral